Molecule: long non-coding RNA, 2492 nt
Organism: Vicia villosa (hairy vetch)
Lineage: Eukaryota; Viridiplantae; Streptophyta; Magnoliopsida; Fabales; Fabaceae
Exons: 3
Source: RefSeq, a predicted model, not a curated record
UACAGCAUAAUAGAUUACUAGUUGCAGAUUGAGAGAAAUAAUAAGCGGGUUUGACAAAGCAAGUGUGUUAUGUUAUGUUAGUUGAUUUUAGUCCCACAUCGAAUGCUUUGUUUUCUUUUAUUAAGUUUAUAUAGAAGAGAUACUCACCAUUAGUUCGUCCCUUCGGGGACAUCCGAUAAAAUUGGAACGAUACAGAGAAGAUUAGCAUGGCCCCUGCGCAAGGAUGACACGCACAAAUCGAGAAAUGGUCCAAAUUUUUUUGCGAUUUUCUUCCCCGAAAUUCUUAGGGUUUCAAUUUCUCUGAUUUCGCGUUUAGGUUUUGUUCGUUUUUACGUUUAGGUUUUGUUCGUUUUCUCUUUGAUUUUGCGUUUAGGGUUUUGUUUUCCUUUCAAUUUCAAUGGUUUUGCGUUUAGGGUUUUGUUUUCCUUUCAAUUUCAAUGGUUUUGCGUUUAGGGUUUUGUUUUCCUUUCAAUUUCAAUGAUUUUGCAUUUAGGGUUUUGUUUUCCUUUCAAUUUCAAUGAUUUUGCAUUUAGGGUUUUGUUUUCCUUUCAAUUUCAAUGAUUUUGCAUUUAGGGUUUUGUUUUCCUUUCAAUUUCAAUGCAUGUAGGUGGUGUUCAUCACGAUUUUGAAAUUGGGGCUGUCUCGUACUUGAACCAUAUGUAUAGUUGAAUUCUUAUUCUGAUUUUUGGUUAUUUUGUUGACUUAAAUUGUUAAUAUCUAUACUUUCAUUUCACUCAUCUCUCUAAUCAAAUGCUUCACCAUUUAGUGAAAACAUCAAAUUCACCAUAUACAUAACAUCAUUGAAUUUUGUGAUAUAGAAAACAUCAAAUUCACCAUAUACAUAACAUCAUAAUAGCUUUUCAUUCAAUUCUGUCAUAGCAAAAACAUCCAAUAAUACAUUGCCAAUUUGUGUUUCUAUCUCAAUAUUUACAACAUGCCUGCCUAUAUUCUACAAAAUCUCAAUACUAAUCUAUGUCCUUCUCUGCAGUCGCAUAUUCAUAGACCAUUGAAGCCUAAAGUUAUAUGCAAAAACACAUCUUCUGUGCAAGGCAUUGUCAGGCCACCCAUUCGAUGAUCAUAUCCAAAUUCUUCCUCUGCUUGGCUUAGCAACUCUUGAAAUGAUGUCUGGUUCAAGUAUGACACAGGGAUCACAAACCGCUUCAUUUCUUCUCCAACAUACACUGCAAGACACCCCUUCGCUACUUUUGAUGAUGUUUGGCUGCUACUUAGUGAACAACCACGUCUAAUAGCUGCAGUUGAGGCAAAUUCAAAGUAAAGGGUCGCCGUUGCCAUUAGCUGCCUAACAACUAUGACCUCAAUCCAUUUGAAGAGCGCGGGUAGUUCACGUGAUUAUGGUCACCAACGCCUUCUUCAGUUAUUGAUUCCUUCAAGGACCUCCUGACUGCCACAUUGCAGCAAAGGUCGUUGGAUCAGUGGUAGAGAAGAUCACUUCCAGACGAAGGUCGUUGGUGCAAAUUUAAUUAUGUCUAGGAGCUCUUUCUCGUGAAUUUUUAAAACAAUACUUCAACUUAGACAGGUAACAGAUCAAAUGUAGAGUUGGAGCUCCAUGCUAGCGUUACUUAAUUACUGUAUCAUCAGAAGUAUUUAAUAUGCUUUGAAAGAGAGCAUACAAUACAACGUCUAGAAUCGGUGGUAACAUUGCCCAACCCCGUGCCAUAUUUAUUACUUGGAUGACAUGUCAAGAUCGAUUGGCUACGAAGGAGAAAUUAUCCAGGUUUGUAUUCUCAAGGAUGAUAAGUGUUGUUGUUGUGGUCAACAAGAAACCACCCUCAAUCAUUUUUUGUUUAACUGUGAAACACAUAGAAAGAUUUGGAGCUUUGUGCUUCUUAAUUAGAUGAAGAUUAAUCACCAACCCUGUGGAUGGACUGAAGUAUUUAAAUAUGCCUUUGUUGAAACUACUUAUGCUUGUUGGAAACUUAGAAACGUUUUUUGCUUUGGGGAUAAAAAUGAUAGCUCUAUAAUAGGCCCCCAUAUGAUUGAGAACACCAUCUUUAGGUGUUGGUCCAAACCAAAGAUGAGGCAACAUAUUGCUAAGCUUAUGCUUCCAUAAGAGUAUCUAGCUUUUGGUCGGUUGGAUUUUAGGAUCGCCUUGAUUGUAUUGUUUUUGUUAUUAAUAAAGUAUUCCUUGAUUUCAGAACAAAAAUUGAAUUUUAAUAGUAAAUUUUUUCUGUUAUAAUUUUAUUAAUUUUUAUCGGUAUGCACGCUCUUGCUCGAUGUGAAUAUAAAUAUAGCACUUUAGUUUCAUAUCUUCACUUUUGUACUACUCUUCAAAUUUGUAUCAUAGUUUUCAUCUUCUAUUUCUUACUUUAUACAUUUGUAUUGAUUAUUAAUUUUAUUUUUUUUCAGGGUAAAAGAUUAUUCAUUUGAUAAUGGCACAUAGUGUAAAUAUUUCGAUGUUUUUAACUCUAAUAUUUAGAUCAAUUAAAAUAAUUUUUGAAGAAUUUGCAUAGACAUUUAUUUGUAUAGAAAUU